UACGGAGGGUGCAAGCGUUAUCCGGAUUCACUGGGGUUAAAGGGGGCGUAGGUGGGCUGGUAAGUCAGUGGUGAAAUCUCCAGGCUUAACUUGGAAACUGCCAUUGAUACUAUCAGUCUUGAAUACCGUGGAGGUCAGCGGAAUAUGUCAUGUAGCGGUGAAAUGCUUAGAUAUGACAUAGAACACCAAUUGCGAAGGCAGCUGGCUACACGAAUAUUGACACUGAUGCACGAAAGCGUGGGGAUCAAACAGG
This 253-nucleotide ribosomal RNA is filed under the name uncultured bacterium. RNAcentral describes it as "partial 16S ribosomal RNA". It matches the Rfam family "Bacterial small subunit ribosomal RNA", at positions 524 to 776 of the family's 1533-position model. The record is from RNAcentral.